GGUUAAGCGACUAAGCGUACACGGUGGAUGCCCUGGCAGUCAGAGGCGAUGAAGGACGUGCUAAUCUGCGAAAAGCGUCGGUAAGGUGAUAUGAACCGUUAUAACCGGCGAUGUCCGAAUGGGGAAACCCAGUGCAAUUCGUUGCACUAUCGUUAACUGAAUACAUAGGUUAACGAGGCGAACCGGGGGAACUGAAACAUCUAAGUACCCCGAGGAAAAGAAAUCAACCGAGAUUCCCCCAGUAGCGGCGAGCGAACGGGGAGCAGCCCAGAGUCUGAAUCAGCUUGUGUGUUAGUGGAACGGUCUGGAAAGUCCGACGGUACAGGGUGAUAGUCCCGUACACCAAAAUGCACAGGUUGUGAACUCGAAGAGUAGGGCGGGACACGUGGUAUCCUGUCUGAAUAUGGGGGGACCAUCCUCCAAGGCUAAAUACUCCUGACUGACCGAUAGUGAACCAGUACCGUGAGGGAAAGGCGAAAAGAACCCCGGCGAGGGGAGUGAAAAAGAACCUGAAACCGUGUACGUACAAGCAGUGGGAGCACCUUCGGGUGUGACUGCGUACCUUUUGUAUAAUGGGUCAGCGACUUAUAUUCUGUAGCAAGGUUAACCGUAUAGGGGAGCCGCAGGGAAACCGAGUCUUAACUGGGCGUUAAGUUGCAGGGUAUAGACCCGAAACCCGGUGAUCUAGCCAUGGGCAGGUUGAAGGUUGGGUAACACUAACUGGAGGACCGAACCGACUAAUGUUGAAAAAUUAGCGGAUGACUUGUGGCUGGGGGUGAAAGGCCAAUCAAACCGGGAGAUAGCUGGUUCUCCCCGAAAGCUAUUUAGGUAGCGCCUCGUGAACUCAUCUUCGGGGGUAGAGCACUGUUUCGGCUAGGGGGUCAUCCCGACUUACCAACCCGAUGCAAACUACGAAUACCGAAGAAUGUUAUCACGGGAGACACACGGCGGGUGCUAACGUCCGUCGUGAAGAGGGAAACAACCCAGACCGCCAGCUAAGGUCCCAAAGUCAUGGUUAAGUGGGAAACGAUGUGGGAAGGCACAGACAGCCAGGAUGUUGGCUUAGAAGCAGCCAUCAUUUAAAGAAAGCGUAAUAGCUCACUGGUCGAGUCGGCCUGCGCGGAAGAUGUAACGGGGCUAAACCAUGCACCGAAGCUGCGGCAGCGACACUAUGUGUUGUUGGGUAGGGGAGCGUUCUGUAAGCCUGCGAAGGUGUGCUGUGAGGCAUGCUGGAGGUAUCAGAAGUGCGAAUGCUGACAUAAGUAACGAUAAAGCGGGUGAAAAGCCCGCUCGCCGGAAGACCAAGGGUUCCUGUCCAACGUUAAUCGGGGCAGGGUGAGUCGACCCCUAAGGCGAGGCCGAAAGGCGUAGUCGAUGGGAAACAGGUUAAUAUUCCUGUACUUGGUGUUACUGCGAAGGGGGGACGGAGAAGGCUAUGUUAGCCGGGCGACGGUUGUCCCGGUUUAAGCAUGUAGGCUG
RNAcentral lists this ribosomal RNA (1479 nucleotides) under Klebsiella pneumoniae. RNAcentral's name for it is "partial 23S ribosomal RNA". It matches the Rfam family "Bacterial large subunit ribosomal RNA", at positions 1 to 1527 of the family's 2925-position model. Lineage: Bacteria; Pseudomonadati; Pseudomonadota; Gammaproteobacteria; Enterobacterales; Enterobacteriaceae. RNAcentral also lists the same sequence under 1 other name. The record is from RNAcentral.